AGUCGAGGGGCAGCAUGAAUAUUGGCUUGCCAAUAUUUGAUGGCGACCGGCGCACGGGUGAGUAACACGUAUCCAACCUUCCGGUUACUCGGGGAUAGGCUUUCGAAAGAAAGAUUAAUACCCGAUGUUGUGUAUCUUUCUCCUGAAAGAUACGCCAAAGGAUUCCGGUAACCGAUGGGGAUGCGUUCCAUUAGGCAGUUGGCGGGGUAACGGCCCACCAAACCUUCGAUGGAUAGGGGUUCUGAGAGGAAGGUCCCCCACAUUGGAACUGAGACACGGUCCAAACUCCUACGGGAGGCAGCAGUGAGGAAUAUUGGUCAAUGGACGGAAGUCUGAACCAGCCAAGUAGCGUGAAGGAUGACUGCCCUCUGGGUUGUAAACUUCUUUUAUACGGGAAUAACAUGAGGUACGCGUACCUUAUUGCAUGUACCGUUAUGAAUAAGCAUCGGCUAACUCCGUGCCAGCAGCCGCGGUAAUACGGAGGAUGCGAGCGUUAUCCGGAUUUAUUGGGUUUAAAGGGAGCGUAGGUGGGAUAUUAAGUCAGCUGUGAAAGUUUGGGGCUCAACCUUAAAAUUGCAGUUGAUACUGGUUUCCUUGAGUACGGUACAGGUGGGCGGAAUUCGUGGUGUAGCGGUGAAAUGCUUAGAUAUCACGAAGAACUCCGAUCGCGAAGGCAGCUCACCGGGCCGGAACUGACACUGAUGCUCGAAAGUGCGGGUAUCAAACAGGAUUAGAUACCCUGGUAGUCCGCACAGUAAACGAUGAAUACUCGCUGUUUGCGAUACACAGUAAGCGGCCAAGCGAAAGCGUUAAGUAUUCCACCUGGGGAGUACGCCGGCAACGGUGAAACUCAAAGGAAUUGACGGGGGCCCCGCACAAGCGGAGGAACAUGUGGUUUAAUUCGAUGAUACGCGAGGAACCUUACCCGGGCUUAAAUUGCGCUGGCUUUUACCGGAAACGGUAUUUUCUUCGGACCAGCGUGAAGGUGCUGCAUGGUUGUCGUCAGCUCGUGCCGUGAGGUGUCGGCUUAAGUGCCAUAACGAGCGCAACCCUUAUCUUUAGUUACUAACAGUUUUGCUGAGGACUCUAAAGAGACUGCCGUCGUAAGAUGCGAGGAAGGUGGGGAUGACGUCAAAUCAGCACGGCCCUUACGUCCGGGGCUACACACGUGUUACAAUGGGGAGCACAGCAGGUUGCUACACGGCGACGUGAUGCCAAUCCGUAAAACUCCUCUCAGUUCGGAUCGAAGUCUGCAACCCGACUUCGUGAAGCUGGAUUCGCUAGUAAUCGCGCAUCAGCCACGGCGCGGUGAAUACGUUCCCGGGCCUUGUACACACCGCCCGUCAAGCCAUGAAAGCCGGGGGUACCUGAAGUACGAACCGCGAGGAUCUCCUAGG
RNAcentral lists this ribosomal RNA (1397 nucleotides) under bacterium NLAE-zl-P515. Its description in RNAcentral is "16S ribosomal RNA". It matches the Rfam family "Bacterial small subunit ribosomal RNA". The record is from RNAcentral.